Molecule: ribosomal RNA, 825 nt
Filed under: Bacillus altitudinis
Lineage: Bacteria; Bacillati; Bacillota; Bacilli; Caryophanales; Bacillaceae
Description: bacterial SSU rRNA
Rfam family: Bacterial small subunit ribosomal RNA
Source: RNAcentral
GAGCUUGCUCCCGGAUGUUAGCGGCGGACGGGUGAGUAACACGUGGGUAACCUGCCUGUAAGACUGGGAUAACUCCGGGAAACCGGAGCUAAUACCGGAUAGUUCCUUGAACCGCAUGGUUCAAGGAUGAAAGACGGUUUCGGCUGUCACUUACAGAUGGACCCGCGGCGCAUUAGCUAGUUGGUGAGGUAACGGCUCACCAAGGCGACGAUGCGUAGCCGACCUGAGAGGGUGAUCGGCCACACUGGGACUGAGACACGGCCCAGACUCCUACGGGAGGCAGCAGUAGGGAAUCUUCCGCAAUGGACGAAAGUCUGACGGAGCAACGCCGCGUGAGUGAUGAAGGUUUUCGGAUCGUAAAGCUCUGUUGUUAGGGAAGAACAAGUGCAAGAGUAACUGCUUGCACCUUGACGGUACCUAACCAGAAAGCCACGGCUAACUACGUGCCAGCAGCCGCGGUAAUACGUAGGUGGCAAGCGUUGUCCGGAAUUAUUGGGCGUAAAGGGCUCGCAGGCGGUUUCUUAAGUCUGAUGUGAAAGCCCCCGGCUCAACCGGGGAGGGUCAUUGGAAACUGGGAAACUUGAGUGCAGAAGAGGAGAGUGGAAUUCCACGUGUAGCGGUGAAAUGCGUAGAGAUGUGGAGGAACACCAGUGGCGAACGCGACUCUCUGGUCUGUAACUGACGCUGAGGAGCGAAAGCGUGGGGAGCGAACAGGAUUAGAUACCCUGGUAGUCCACGCCGUAAACGAUGAGUGCUAAGUGUUAGGGGGUUUCCGCCCCUUAGUGCUGCAGCUAACGCAUUAAGCACUCCGCCUGGGGAGUACGG